GAAUAUGAAGUGAUAAAUUACAAUUAGUUUCGACCUAAUCUUAGGCAACACUGCCCUUAUUCU
RNAcentral lists this transfer RNA (63 nucleotides) under Pedicia sp. ZK-2016. Its description in RNAcentral is "tRNA-Arg". The record is from RNAcentral. Lineage: Eukaryota; Metazoa; Arthropoda; Insecta; Diptera; Pediciidae.